GUUUGCUUAACUAAGUGGAUAAUGUGAUGGCAUUUAAAGCGAAUAGUACUGGGUUCGAGUCCAAGAGUAAACA
This 73-nucleotide transfer RNA is filed under the name Schistosoma mattheei. It matches the Rfam family "tRNA". Rfam says of the family: Transfer RNA (tRNA) molecules are approximately 80 nucleotides in length. Their secondary structure includes four short double-helical elements and three loops (D, anti-codon, and T loops). The record is from Rfam by way of RNAcentral. Lineage: Eukaryota; Metazoa; Platyhelminthes; Trematoda; Strigeidida; Schistosomatidae.